Molecule: unclassified non-coding RNA, 343 nt
Filed under: soil metagenome
Description: partial contains 5.8S ribosomal RNA, internal transcribed spacer 2, and large subunit ribosomal RNA
Rfam family: 5.8S ribosomal RNA (bases 1-120)
Source: RNAcentral
GAUGAAGAACGUAGCGAAAUGCGAUAAGUUAUGUGAAUUGCAGAAUUCAGUGAAUCAUCGAAUCUUUGAACGCACAUUGCGCCCGCCAGCAUUCUGGCGGGCAUGCCUGUUCGAGCGUCAUUUCAACCCUCGACCUCCCCUUGGGGAGGUCGGCGUUGGGGACCGGCAGCACACCGCCGGCCCUGAAAUGGAGUGGCGGCCCGUCUGCGGCGACCUCUGCGUAGUAAUACAGCUCGCACCGGAACCCCGACGCGGCCACGCCGUAAAACACCCAACUUCUGAACGUUGACCUCGAAUCAGGUAGGACUACCCGCUGAACUUAAGCAUAUCAAUAAGCGGAGGA